UACGGAGGGUGCAAGCGUUAUCCGGAUUCACUGGGUUUAAAGGGUGCGUAGGUGGGCAGGUAAGUCAGUGGUGAAAUCUCCGGGCUUAACCCGGAAACUGCCAUUGAUACUAUCUGUCUUGAAUACCGUGGAGGUGAGCGGAAUAUGUCAUGUAGCGGUGAAAUGCUUAGAUAUGACAUAGAACACCAAUUGCGAAGGCAGCUUACUACCCGAAUAUUGACACUGAUGCACGAAAGCGUGGGGAUCAAACAGG
This 253-nucleotide ribosomal RNA is filed under the name uncultured bacterium. Its description in RNAcentral is "partial 16S ribosomal RNA". It matches the Rfam family "Bacterial small subunit ribosomal RNA", at positions 524 to 776 of the family's 1533-position model. The record is from RNAcentral.